AUGGUUAGGGUUCAAAGCUUAGACUCUCAGACUUCACGCUCAAACGCUUUCCUCUUCUCACUCAUCGCGAAAGAAAACCACUGCCACUCCUCUGACAAACAAAUUCCACCGUCGACUACUCUUGUGGCCACACGCUUCACCCAUCGCUUUCACUUCAUCCUGAUUCAGCCUCCAUUUCGAUCUACUGCCUUGCUUUACAGUAUUCGUUUCUGUCUCGACCUCUUCUUCCGAUCUCAGCUCGCGACUCAACCUUCUAUCAUCUCCGCUUUAGUCGUGCUCUUCUCUAACACAACACCGGCCAAACUCAAGCCUCCGCCCCAUCCUAUACCUCUUCACCGAUUAACUUCACCGUCACGGUGA
Molecule: non-coding RNA, 360 nt
Organism: Vicia faba (fava bean)
Lineage: Eukaryota; Viridiplantae; Streptophyta; Magnoliopsida; Fabales; Fabaceae
Source: the annotation of a GenBank genome assembly